GGUUAAGCGACUAAGCGUACACGGUGGAUGCCCUGGCAGUCAGAGGCGAUGAAGGACGUGCUAAUCUGCGAUAAGCGUCGGUAAGGUGAUAUGAACCGUUAUAACCGGCGAUUUCCGAAUGGGGAAACCCAGUGUGAUUCGUCACACUAUCAUUAACUGAAUCCAUAGGUUAAUGAGGCGAACCGGGGGAACUGAAACAUCUAAGUACCCCGAGGAAAAGAAAUCAACCGAGAUUCCCCCAGUAGCGGCGAGCGAACGGGGAGCAGCCCAGAGCCUGAAUCAGUGUGUGUGUUAGUGGAAGCGUCUGGAAAGGCGCGCGAUACAGGGUGAUAGCCCCGUACACAAAAAUGCACAUGCUGUGAGCUCGAUGAGUAGGGCGGGACACGUGGUAUCCUGUCUGAAUAUGGGGGGACCAUCCUCCAAGGCUAAAUACUCCUGACUGACCGAUAGUGAACCAGUACCGUGAGGGAAAGGCGAAAAGAACCCCGGCGAGGGGAGUGAAAAAGAACCUGAAACCGUGUACGUACAAGCAGUGGGAGCACGCUUAGGCGUGUGACUGCGUACCUUUUGUAUAAUGGGUCAGCGACUUAUAUUCUGUAGCAAGGUUAACCGAAUAGGGGAGCCGAAGGGAAACCGAGUCUUAACUGGGCGUUAAGUUGCAGGGUAUAGACCCGAAACCCGGUGAUCUAGCCAUGGGCAGGUUGAAGGUUGGGUAACACUAACUGGAGGACCGAACCGACUAAUGUUGAAAAAUUAGCGGAUGACUUGUGGCUGGGGGUGAAAGGCCAAUCAAACCGGGAGAUAGCUGGUUCUCCCCGAAAGCUAUUUAGGUAGCGCCUCGUGAAUUCAUCUCCGGGGGUAGAGCACUGUUUCGGCAAGGGGGUCAUCCCGACUUACCAACCCGAUGCAAACUGCGAAUACCGGAGAAUGUUAUCACGGGAGACACACGGCGGGUGCUAACGUCCGUCGUGAAGAGGGAAACAACCCAGACCGCCAGCUAAGGUCCCAAAGUCAUGGUUAAGUGGGAAACGAUGUGGGAAGGCCCAGACAGCCAGGAUGUUGGCUUAGAAGCAGCCAUCAUUUAAAGAAAGCGUAAUAGCUCACUGGUCGAGUCGGCCUGCGCGGAAGAUGUAACGGGGCUAAACCAUGCACCGAAGCUGCGGCAGCGACGCUUAUGCGUUGUUGGGUAGGGGAGCGUUCUGUAAGCCUGCGAAGGUGUGCUGUGAGGCAUGCUGGAGGUAUCAGAAGUGCGAAUGCUGACAUAAGUAACGAUAAAGCGGGUGAAAAGCCCGCUCGCCGGAAGACCAAGGGUUCCUGUCCAACGUUAAUCGGGGCAGGGUGAGUCGACCCCUAAGGCGAGGCCGAAAGGCGUAGUCGAUGGGAAACAGGUUAAUAUUCCUGUACUUGGUGUUACUGCGAAGGGGGGACGGAGAAGGCUAUGUUGGCCGGGCGACGGUUGUCCCGGUUUAAGCGUGUAGGCUGGUUUUCCAGGCAAAUCCGGAAAACUAAGGCUGAGGCGUGAUGACGAGGCACUACGGUGCUGAAGCAACAAAUGCCCUGCUUCCAGGAAAAGCCUCUAAGCAUCAGGUAACAUCAAAUCGUACCCCAAACCGACACAGGUGGUCAGGUAGAGAAUACCAAGGCGCUUGAGAGAACUCGGGUGAAGGAACUAGGCAAAAUGGUGCCGUAACUUCGGGAGAAGGCACGCUGAUAUGUAGGUGAAGUCCCUCGCGGAUGGAGCUGAAAUCAGUCGAAGAUACCAGCUGGCUGCAACUGUUUAUUAAAAACACAGCACUGUGCAAACACGAAAGUGGACGUAUACGGUGUGACGCCUGCCCGGUGCCGGAAGGUUAAUUGAUGGGGUCAGCGCAAGCGAAGCUCUUGAUCGAAGCCCCGGUAAACGGCGGCCGUAACUAUAACGGUCCUAAGGUAGCGAAAUUCCUUGUCGGGUAAGUUCCGACCUGCACGAAUGGCGUAAUGAUGGCCAGGCUGUCUCCACCCGAGACUCAGUGAAAUUGAACUCGCUGUGAAGAUGCAGUGUACCCGCGGCAAGACGGAAAGACCCCGUGAACCUUUACUAUAGCUUGACACUGAACAUUGAGCCUUGAUGUGUAGGAUAGGUGGGAGGCUUUGAAGUGUGGACGCCAGUCUGCAUGGAGCCGACCUUGAAAUACCACCCUUUAAUGUUUGAUGUUCUAACGUGGACCCGUGAUCCGGGUUGCGGACAGUGUCUGGUGGGUAGUUUGACUGGGGCGGUCUCCUCCUAAAGAGUAACGGAGGAGCACGAAGGUUGGCUAAUCCUGGUCGGACAUCAGGAGGUUAGUGCAAUGGCAUAAGCCAGCUUGACUGCGAGCGUGACGGCGCGAGCAGGUGCGAAAGCAGGUCAUAGUGAUCCGGUGGUUCUGAAUGGAAGGGCCAUCGCUCAACGGAUAAAAGGUACUCCGGGGAUAACAGGCUGAUACCGCCCAAGAGUUCAUAUCGACGGCGGUGUUUGGCACCUCGAUGUCGGCUCAUCACAUCCUGGGGCUGAAGUAGGUCCCAAGGGUAUGGCUGUUCGCCAUUUAAAGUGGUACGCGAGCUGGGUUUAGAACGUCGUGAGACAGUUCGGUCCCUAUCUGCCGUGGGCGCUGGAGAACUGAGGGGGGCUGCUCCUAGUACGAGAGGACCGGAGUGGACGCAUCACUGGUGUUCGGGUUGUCAUGCCAAUGGCACUGCCCGGUAGCUAAAUGCGGAAGAGAUAAGUGCUGAAAGCAUCUAAGCACGAAACUUGCCCCGAGAUGAGUUCUCCCUGACUCCUUGAGAGUCCUGAAGGAACGUUGAAGACGACGACGUUGAUAGGCCGGGUGUGUAAGCGCAGCGAUGCGUUGAGCUAACCGGUACUAAUGAACCGUGAGGCUUAACCUU
Molecule: ribosomal RNA, 2904 nt
Filed under: Escherichia coli
Lineage: Bacteria; Pseudomonadati; Pseudomonadota; Gammaproteobacteria; Enterobacterales; Enterobacteriaceae
Description: 23S ribosomal RNA
Rfam family: Bacterial large subunit ribosomal RNA
Source: RNAcentral